CGGUGAGUAAGGGAAUCAUCAAGCAAGAAAAAGAGACAUUUGAAAUUGACAAGUAUCAGACAACAAUGAUCAAGCUUCUUUUCAGCAUCGCAGUCGUGACCGGAAUUGUCAUCCAAAACGUGGAAGGGCGUUGGUACACAUGCAGUGCCACUGGUGACCCACAUUACGUGACAUUUAAUAAGAAGUGUUACGACUUUCAAGGAAAAUGCCAUUACAUUUUGGCAAGAGAUACUCAAAGGCGAUUUACGGUAAUUGCCAAAAAUGAAAUAUGUGGACGCGGGUCAAAAGGUCCUUCAUGCACAAGAAAGGCCAUAGUGAGACUUAAUCAUUUCCAGAUCGUGAUCAACCG
Dendronephthya gigantea is the source of this 349-nucleotide long non-coding RNA. RefSeq lists it as uncharacterized. The transcript has 3 exons. Lineage: Eukaryota; Metazoa; Cnidaria; Anthozoa; Malacalcyonacea; Nephtheidae. The record is from RefSeq and is a predicted model, not a curated record.